RNAcentral lists this transfer RNA (63 nucleotides) under Rhagium mordax. RNAcentral describes it as "tRNA-His". Lineage: Eukaryota; Metazoa; Arthropoda; Insecta; Coleoptera; Cerambycidae. The record is from RNAcentral.
AUCUAAAUAGUUUAUAAAAAUAUUGAUUUGUGAUUUCAAAGAUAUAGUUUUCUAUUUUAGAUA